UACGAAGGGGGCAAGCGUUGUUCGGAAUUACUGGGCGUAAGGGGCGCGUAGGCGGCCGAUCAAGUCAGGCGUGAAAUUCCCGGGCUCAACCUGGGGGCUGCGCUUGAUACUGGUUGGCUUGAAUGCGGGAGAGGAUAGUGGAAUUCCCAGUGUAGAGGUGAAAUUCGUAGAUAUUGGGAAGAACACCGGUGGCGAAGGCGGCUAUCUGGCCCGAUACUGACGCUGAGACGCGAAAGCGUGGGGAGCAAACAGG
This 253-nucleotide ribosomal RNA is filed under the name uncultured bacterium. RNAcentral describes it as "partial 16S ribosomal RNA". It matches the Rfam family "Bacterial small subunit ribosomal RNA", at positions 524 to 776 of the family's 1533-position model. The record is from RNAcentral.